ACCGAGCAAGAGGCUGGAGCCGUGCUUUGUUCUGGGCACCGGCGCCUCUAUCUUCCCGCGUCGGUUCCAUCCUUUGCUUCCCUCUCCCGGCAUCCCCUUCCCCAGACGCUGCGGCUGAGCGCCCUUGCCAGGUUCUGGUUUUUGCUUUUUCCUCCCAAGGCGGGGGGUCUCUCCGCCAGGCCCCGCCCCUCCAGGCCCGGCAUGUCCCCUGCUGCCCCGCGCCCAUGGUCCUGACGCUGCUCUUCUCCGCCUACAAACUGUGCCGCUUCUUCGCCAUGUCGAGCCCACGGCCGGGCGCCGAUCGGUUGACAGUGCCAGGGCCGGAUAGGAAUGGUAGCGCCAGCCCGUGGUGGGCCGCGGGCCGUGGAUCCCGCGAAGUGUCGCCUGGGGUGGGCACCGAGGUGCAAGGCGCCCUGGAGCGUUCGCUGCCGGAGCUGCAGCAAGCGCUGUCCGAGCUGAAGCAGGCAAGCGCGGCGCGGGCGGUGGGCGCGGGCCUCGCCGAGGUCUUCCAGCUAGUAGAGGAGGCCUGGCUGCUGCCGGCCGUGGGUCGCGAGGUGGCCCAGGGUCUGUGCGAUGCGAUACGUCUGGACGGUGGCCUCGACUUGCUGUUGCGGUUGCUGCAGGCACCGGAGCUAGAGACCCGCGUGCAGGCCGCGCGCCUGCUGGAGCAGAUCCUGGUGGCUGAGAACCGGGACCGUGUGGCGCGGAUAGGCCUGGGCGUGAUCUUGAACCUGGCAAAGGAACGCGAACCGGUGGAGCUGGCACGGAGCGUGGCGGGCAUCUUGGAGCACAUGUUCAAGCACUCAGAGGAGACGUGCCAGCGGCUGGUGGCGGCCGGCGGUCUGGACGCGGUGCUGUACUGGUGCCGCCGCACCGACCCGGCGCUGCUGCGCCACUGCGCCCUGGCGCUGGCGAAUUGCGCGUUGCACGGGGGCCAGGCGGUGCAGAGAUGCAUGGUGGAGAAGCGCGCCGCCGAGUGGCUCUUCCCUCUUGCCUUCUCCAAGGAGGACGAGCUGCUGCGGCUGCAUGCCUGCCUGGCGGUGGCGGUGUUGGCUACCAACAAGGAGGUGGAGCGCGAGGUCGAGCACUCUGGCACGCUAGCGCUCGUCGAGCCGCUCGUGGCAUCCCUGGACCCCGGCCGCUUUGCCCGCUGCCUGGUGGACGCCAGUGACACAAGGCAGGGUCGCGGACCGGACGACCUACAAAGCCUGGUACUGCUGCUCGAUUCGUCGCGUUUGGAGGCUCAGUGCAUCGGGGCUUUCUAUCUGUGUGCUGAGGCUGCCAUCAAGAGCCUACAGGGCAAGACCAAGGUGUUCAGCGACAUCGGUGCCAUCCAGAGCUUGAAACGCGUAGUUUCUUACUCCACUAAUGGCACCACGUCGGCGCUGGCGAAGCGCGCGCUGCGCCUGUUGGGCGAGGAGGUACCCCGGCGCAUCCUGCCCUGCGUGGCCAGCUGGAAGGAGGCCGAAGUCCAGACCUGGCUGCAACAGAUCGGCUUCUCCCAGUACUGCGAGAACUUUCGGGAUCAGCAGGUAGAUGGUGACCUGCUUCUACGGCUUACAGAGGAAGAACUCCAGACAGACCUGGGCAUGAAAUCGAGCAUUACCCGCAAGAGGUUCUUUAGGGAGCUCACAGAGCUCAAGACCUUUGCCAGCUACGCUACAUGCGACCGCAGCAACCUAGCAGACUGGCUAGGCAGCCUGGACCCUCGCUUCCGCCAGUACACCUACGGCCUGGUCAGCUGCGGCCUGGAUCGCUCCCUGUUGCACCGCGUGUCAGAGCAGCAGCUCCUGGAGGACUGUGGCAUCCGCCUGGGGGUGCAUCGCUCACGUAUCCUCUCUGCAGCCCGAGAAAUGCUACACUCGCCAUUGCCCUGUGCUGGCAGCAAGCCCAGCGAAGACACCCCAGAUGUCUUUAUCAGCUACCGGCGGAGUUCGGGGUCCCAGCUGGCCAGCCUCCUGAAGGUGCACCUGCAGCUGCACGGCUUCAGCGUCUUCAUCGACGUGGAGAAGCUGGAAGCCGGCAAGUUCGAGGACAAGCUCAUCCAGAGUGUCAUGGCAGCUCGAAACUUUGUUCUGGUGCUAUCUGCUGGGGCGCUGGACAAAUGCAUGCAGGACCAUGACUGCAAGGACUGGGUGCACAAGGAGAUUGUGACUGCUUUAAGCUGUGGCAAGAACAUUGUGCCCAUCAUUGAUGGCUUUGAGUGGCCCGAGCCCCAGGCACUGCCUGAGGACAUGCAGGCUGUGCUUACUUUCAAUGGCAUCAAAUGGUCCCAUGAGUACCAGGAGGCCACCAUCGAGAAAAUCAUCCGCUUCCUUCAGGGCCGCCCCUCUCAGGACUCCUCUGCCGGCUCUGACACCAGUCUGGAGGGAACUGCACCAAUGGAUCUGCCUUAGCCUGUCCCCAGUUCCCACACCCUGCAGUGACCCCUGGUUCCAUUAUCUCCCCACCCUUAAAGGAAUAGCUCCUCUAGAGCCGCCCUGGGCUGAGGCAAACCAGACCCUUCUCAGGAAAUGGCUUUCCCUGCUGCCCCCCAGUGGCCCACUUCUAACCCAGAGAUGCCAGGCACGGGGUUAAAUGAGACGACUCCUCUGUCAGGCCCUGCCUUCAGGUUCCAACAUCCCAUGCCCCCGCUUAGUUCUGGACACUCAAGGUAGCAUCUCUGGUCUCCUGCCCAAGAGCAGCCAGCUCGAGUAGGGUGAGCUUGGCAGGUCCUGGCAGGAAUCAGGACAAUGCCUAGGCCCUCUAUUUGGGCCCAGGAGGCAUCUGGGGUUGAGGAUCCCCCAAAGGCUGUCUACUCACAUUGUGCCUGGCCCCUGGCUCACCUGGAUUCCUGCUGCCUCAUGGCCUUGCUCUGUAACUACUUGGUACCCCUGCCAGAUUUCUUUAGGCAGCCUCCUUUGCCAUACUGGGAGUCAGAGUCCAUCUGAACUGGCCCUCUGCCUGGCCUUGCUGCCCUUUCUGGUGCAAGAAAGGACCCUUACUUGUUCAGGGAGACUGUAAGAAUCCACCCUAGCCCAAACCUCUGUGCUGUGCCUAAGGCUCUUGCCUAGCCUGAUCUACCUGGCUUCUCCAGCUCCUCAUCCACACAGGGCUAAGAGGAGACUGGAGAAGCUUCAGCAGAACCAGUAGCCAGGGCAGAGCAUGCACCCUGGGAAAGAGGCAAGACCUCUGCAGACAAGGGCCAGUUCCUGGGGCCGUCUCUCUCACAGAAGUGUGUCCACAUCCACUGGGAAUCUUAUCAAAACACAGAGCAAGCCAUCCGGGAAGUUCCUGAGCCGCUGCCAUCUGCAGAUUCCCACGGGAGCUCAUGCAAGGUCCUCACCAGCCCCUGUCACGUUCCAAACACCCCAGUCUGGUUCCUAACCCUCCCUGGAGCCUUUUCCAAUCCGGUCACCCCAGUUUUACAGAGAGGAAUGGCUGAGUGAUAGGCCCAGGUCCCCAAAUCAGUGGUGGCAGCCUCAGAUUCUGCCCUAGUCCUGACACCCAGCACCAGUGUCCAGCCCAUUGGCUCUUGCCAAUACCCAGCCUCCAGCUGGAGUCAGCUGGCAUCACCCCGCUGCUGACCUCUGGAGGCAGUGGGGUCACACACUUCUCCAGAAGCUGGCCAGGUUACUUUCCCUCAGUCCCCACUGUCAGAGAGCCAAAGGGCUUUCUCUCCAGGCUUAGGGACACCUUCCUUGACUGUCCUUCCUGCCAAAGACCCCAUCGUCCAUGGGUCAUGGCUGGCCUCUGGCUGUGACUAUCUGUAGUCCUGGUCCUGCCACCAGUGCCAACCCCACACCCUGUUCUGAGGUGAGGCAGAUGGAAUGGUACCCUUGAUGACGAAGUCAAUAACGAUACAGUAUAUGAGUUCCUCCCGGGAAACCUACCUAUCUCCAGUCCACACUUUCCAGAGGGCCCCGUGGGCAGCACUCAAGAAGUUUCUGGGUUUUCUUAUUUGGGACACAGGUCACUACUACCUCCAUUGUCUGGCCUUCUGUUGACCUGUCCCCUCCCGUCUUCCUGGGGAACCAGAGCACAGCCUUCUGCCCCAGUCAGGGUAGCAGUGCCAAGCCUCCUCUAGCGAGGUACUCUGCUCUGUGGUGACACAGCUCAGACUGCAGGCAGAGCUAAGCAAGGCUGACCACACUGACCUCAAGACGGGCUCUUCAGUAGCCUUUCAGGCUGCCCAGGUUUGCACGGUCUGUGGGUGCAGUGUUUUCUGCCUGGCCGGGCUAUAUAGCUGUUACCCCAAGCUGGGGCUGAGUCAGGCUGGUCACUACACUACACCCCUACCCCUCUCUAGUGGGCGACAUUAAGAGGGUAAACAUCCAGCCACAGUGCGUCAUCUCAUCACUAGGCAUCUCAUCCUGGGGUGCAGGGAGAUGGAGGGAUCCAGAGCAUCCGACCGCUGUGCUUCCUAACACAUGCAAUUACAGGGGCCCUUGUAACCAGACAGUUUGGGUGGAAAGCCGACCCAGCUUUCUUUAUUCGAGGUCAAGGUGCCAGAGUGGAGCCUUUCCCUCCUCACAGUGGUGGGGUCAGUAGAAGGCCUCUUCUUGCUGAGUUCCCACCUCCAAAGGGGCAGUGAGGCAGGAGUGGACCCCGCUGCAGUUCAGGGGGCCUUAGAGGGGCAGUGAGGCAGGAAUGGACACCGCUGCAGCUCAGGGGCCUUGCUCAGCACUGAACUACAUGGAGGGCUAAAUGGCAGCCAAAAGUGAUCUUGCUGGGGCUGGUGGAGCCAUGAAGCCAGCGGGGUAGUGACUCAAUAGACCCACAGGAAGGAGCAGCCAGGGCUGGGGCCCAAGUGUCACCGCUGCUCUGAAAAUGUCUCACAAGCCCUUCACC
Molecule: RNA transcript, 4830 nt
Organism: Alexandromys fortis (reed vole)
Lineage: Eukaryota; Metazoa; Chordata; Mammalia; Rodentia; Cricetidae
Gene: Sarm1
Gene name: sterile alpha and TIR motif containing 1
Exons: 10
Source: RefSeq, a predicted model, not a curated record